RNAcentral lists this long non-coding RNA (269 nucleotides) under Citrus x clementina. RNAcentral describes it as "Citrus clementina (C. clementina) long non-coding RNA (CCLE_LNC004506)". Lineage: Eukaryota; Viridiplantae; Streptophyta; Magnoliopsida; Sapindales; Rutaceae. The record is from RNAcentral.
ACUUCACCACCACCAAAAACAACACCACAAACACCGCCAACACCACCACCACCACAAACACCGAGAGCAACACCUCAAGUUCAACCACCAACACCAACACCAACACCUCAAGUUCAACCACCAACACCAACACCUCAAGUUCAACCACCAACACCAACACCUCAAGUUCAACCUCGAACACCAACACCAGCACCACCCCCACCCCCACCCCCACCUCCAAGAGGGUGGUUCAAUUUCAAUUUCGGUGGAUGGUUCAAUUUCAAUGUCGC